CACGGAGUUAGCCGGGGCUUCUUCUGGUGGUACCGUCAUUAUCUUCCCACCUGAAAGAGCUUUACAACCCUAAGGCCUUCAUCGCUCACGCGGCAUGGCUAGAUCAGGGUUUCCCCCAUUGUCUAAGAUUCCCCA
This 135-nucleotide ribosomal RNA is filed under the name uncultured bacterium. Its description in RNAcentral is "partial 16S ribosomal RNA". The record is from RNAcentral.